Molecule: ribosomal RNA, 417 nt
Filed under: uncultured bacterium
Lineage: Bacteria
Description: bacterial SSU rRNA
Rfam family: Bacterial small subunit ribosomal RNA
Source: RNAcentral
UCGGGAAUAUUGCGCAAUGGAGGAAACUCUGACGCAGUGACGCCGCGUGCAGGAAGAAGGUUUUCGGAUUGUAAACUGCUUUAGACAGGGAAGAAAAAAUGACAGUACCUGUAGAAUAAGCUCCGGCUAACUACGUGCCAGCAGCCGCGGUAAUACGUAGGGAGCAAGCGUUAUCCGGAUUUAUUGGGUGUAAAGGGUGCGUAGACGGAGAAGCAAGUUAGUUGUGAAACCCCUCGGCUUAACCGAGGAACUGCAACUAAAACUACUUCCCUUGAGUGCUGGAGAGGAAAGUGGAAUUCCUAGUGUAGCGGUGAAAUGCGUAGAUAUUAGGAGGAACACCAGUGGCGAAGGCGACUUUCUGGACAGUAACUGACGUUGAGGCACGAAAGUGUGGGGAGCAAACAGGAUUAGAUACCC